GAUGAACGCUGGCGGCGUGCUUAACACAUGCAAGUCGAACGAUGAAGCCCAGCUUGCUGGGUGGAUUAGUGGCGAACGGGUGAGUAACACGUGAGUAACCUGCCCUUAACUCUGGGAUAAGCCUGGGAAACUGGGUCUAAUACCGGAUAGGAGCGUCCACCGCAUGGUGGGUGUUGGAAAGAUUUAUCGGUUUUGGAUGGACUCGCGGCCUAUCAGCUUGUUGGUGAGGUAAUGGCUCACCAAGGCGACGACGGGUAGCCGGCCUGAGAGGGUGACCGGCCACACUGGGACUGAGACACGGCCCAGACUCCUACGGGAGGCAGCAGUGGGGAAUAUUGCACAAUGGGCGCAAGCCUGAUGCAGCGACGCCGCGUGAGGGAUGACGGCCUUCGGGUUGUAAACCUCUUUCAGUAGGGAAGAAGCGAAGGUGACGGUACCUGCAGAAGAAGCACCGGCUAACUACGUG
Molecule: ribosomal RNA, 466 nt
Filed under: uncultured bacterium
Lineage: Bacteria
Description: partial 16S ribosomal RNA
Rfam family: Bacterial small subunit ribosomal RNA
Source: RNAcentral